Molecule: microRNA precursor, 119 nt
Filed under: Marmota monax (woodchuck)
Lineage: Eukaryota; Metazoa; Chordata; Mammalia; Rodentia; Sciuridae
Source: RNAcentral
UCACUGUUUCUCUCUCUCUCUCUCUCUCUCUCUCUCUCUCUCUCUCUCUCUCUGUGUGUGUGUGUGAGAGAGAGAGAGAGAGAGAGAGAGAGAGAGAGAAAGAGAGAGUGUUUUGGUGA